RNAcentral lists this ribosomal RNA (468 nucleotides) under uncultured bacterium. Its description in RNAcentral is "partial 16S ribosomal RNA". It matches the Rfam family "Bacterial small subunit ribosomal RNA", at positions 28 to 507 of the family's 1533-position model. The record is from RNAcentral.
GACGAACGCUGGCGGCGUGCUUAACACAUGCAAGUCGAACGGAAAGGCCCUGCUUUCGUGGGGUGCUCGAGUGGCGAACGGGUGAGUAACACGUGAGUAACCUGCCCUUGACUUUGGGAUAACUUCAGGAAACUGGGGCUAAUACCGGAUAGGAGCUCCUGCUGCAUGGUGGGGGUUGGAAAGUUUCGGCGGUUGGGGAUGGACUCGCGGCUUAUCAGCUUGUUGGUGGGGUAGUGGCUUACCAAGGCUUUGACGGGUAGCCGGCCUGAGAGGGUGACCGGCCUCAGUGGUACUGCGAUACGCCCCAGUCUGCUACGGGAGGCAAUAGUGGGGAAUAUUGCCCAAUGGUCGGAAGCCUGAUGCAGCAACGCCGCGUGCGGGAAGACGGCCUUCGGGUUGUAAACCGCUUUCGCCUGUGACGAAGCGUGAGUGACGGUAAUGAGUAAAGAAGCACCGGCUAACUACGUG